AACGUACGCUGGCGGCACGCCUAACACAUGCAAGUCGAACGCAGUAGCAAUACUGAGUGGCAGACGGGUGAGUAACAUGUGGGAAUCUGCCUUGUGGUUCAGGACAACAUUGGGAAACCGAUGCUAAUACUGGAUAAGCCCUUACGGGGAAAGUUUUAAUGCCAUAAGAUGAGCCCGCAUUUGAUUAGUUAGUUGGUGAGGUAAUGGCUCACCAAGACAAUGAUCAAUAGCUGAUCUGAGAGGAUGAUCAGCCACACUGGGACUGAGACACGGCCCAGACUCCUACGGGAGGCAGCAGUGGGGAAUCUUGCACAAUGGAGGAAACUCUGAUGCAGCGAUGCCGCGUGAGUGAAGAAGGCCUUUGGGUUGUAAAGCUCUUUUGUAGGGGAAGAUAAUGACUGUACCCUAAGAAUAAGGUACCGGCUAACUUCGUG
RNAcentral lists this ribosomal RNA (434 nucleotides) under uncultured bacterium. RNAcentral's name for it is "bacterial SSU rRNA". It matches the Rfam family "Bacterial small subunit ribosomal RNA", at positions 29 to 507 of the family's 1533-position model. The record is from RNAcentral.